CAAGAGCGUAUAUUAAAGUUGUUGCAGUUAAAAAGCUCGUAGUUGGAUUUCUGGUACAACGCGCCUGGCCCGCUUUUGUGAGUGCCGGUGCGCGUUUGCCAUCCUUCUAGAAAACGUCUCUACUCGGGCAACUGGGCCGGAUUCGCGAUCUAGAUCUUUUACUUUUGAAAAAAUUAGAGUGUUUAAAGCAGGCUAUUGCCUUGAAUACAUUAGCAUGGAAUAAUAAUCUAGGACUUCGGUUUUAUUUUGUUGGUUUUCUAAAAAUUUGAAGUAAAUGAUUGAUAGGGGAUAGUUGGGGGUGCGUAGUAUUGGCCGGCCAGAGGUGAAAUUCUUGGAUUCGGUCAAGACUAACUUAUGCGAAAGCAUUCACCAAGGAUGUCUUCUUUAAUCAAGAACGAAAGUUGGGGGGAUCGAAGACGAUUAGAUACCG
RNAcentral lists this ribosomal RNA (430 nucleotides) under uncultured eukaryote. RNAcentral describes it as "bacterial SSU rRNA". It matches the Rfam family "Eukaryotic small subunit ribosomal RNA", at positions 592 to 1017 of the family's 1831-position model. The record is from RNAcentral.